RNAcentral lists this transfer RNA (63 nucleotides) under opilioacarid SJD-2001. RNAcentral describes it as "tRNA-Ala". Lineage: Eukaryota; Metazoa; Arthropoda; Arachnida; Opilioacarida; Opilioacaridae. The record is from RNAcentral.
AGAUAGGUAUUUAAACACAUAAAACCUAAUUUGCAAUUAGAAAUUGUCACAUGACCCUGUCUA